RNAcentral lists this ribosomal RNA (492 nucleotides) under uncultured bacterium. RNAcentral's name for it is "partial 16S ribosomal RNA". It matches the Rfam family "Bacterial small subunit ribosomal RNA", at positions 29 to 507 of the family's 1533-position model. The record is from RNAcentral.
AGUGAACGCUGGCGGUAGGCCUAACACAUGCAAGUCGAACGGCAGCACAGUAAGAGCUUGCUCUUACGGGUGGCGAGUGGCGGACGGGUGAGGAAUACAUCGGAAUCUACUUUUUCGUGGGGGAUAACGUAGGGAAACUUACGCUAAUACCGCAUACGACCUACGGGUGAAAGCAGGGGAUCUUCGGACCUUGCGCGAUUGAAUGAGCCGAUGUCGGAUUAGCUAGUUGGCGGGGUAAAGGCCCACCAAGGCGACGAUUCGUAGCUGGUCUGAGAGGAUGAUCAGCCACACUGGAACUGAGACACGGUCCAGACUCCUACGGGAGGCAGCAGUGGGGAAUAUUGGACAAUGGGCGCAAGCCUGAUCCAGCCAUACCGCGUGGGUGAAGAAGGCCUUCGGGUUGUAAAGCCCUUUUGUUGGGAAAGAAGAGCAGCAGGUUAAUACCCCGCUGUUCUGACGGUACCCAAAGAAUAAGCACCGGCUAACUUCGUG